AGUAGACCUUCUGAGGCCUGCCAACAGCCUUGUGAAUAAGCCUGGAUCCUCCCAGUCAAUGCUUGAGAUGAGUGCAGCCCCAGCCGAAACUGAAUGUACUGCAUAAGAGAAUCUAAGUCAAAUCUAGCCAGGGAAGAGGAUUGAAAAUUUCAGCAAGGCAAAAGUGAUGAAAAUGUCUUCAUGGAACCUUUGGUAAUUUCAGAAACAUGAUUUGGAACACCGAGAGAGGCUGAAAAAUGGACAUUUGGCACUACUUGGACACUGAUUCUUCAUUAUCUAGAGCAUUCAAGCUCUCUGAGAAGAAGGAUGAAUUUGUCUUUUCUUUCACCUGAGGGCAGCCACCACUCAACUCUUCCUGGUUCUCUGAAGCAGUGUCUGUCCCCUGUGCCUGCAGCACAGCACUCACUCAUGG
Long non-coding RNA from Globicephala melas (long-finned pilot whale), 412 nucleotides. RefSeq lists it as uncharacterized. Lineage: Eukaryota; Metazoa; Chordata; Mammalia; Artiodactyla; Delphinidae. The record is from RefSeq and is a predicted model, not a curated record.